AGAGUUUGAUCAUGGCUCAGGACGAACGCUGGCGGCGUGCUUAACACAUGCAAGUCGAGCGGUAAGGCCCUUCGGGGUACACGAGCGGCGAACGGGUGAGUAACACGUGAGCAAUCUGCCCUUCACUUUGGGAUAACCACCGGAAACGGUGGCUAAUACCGGAUAUGACCGCCUUGGGCAUCUGGGGUGGUGGAAAGUUCUGGCGGUGAGGAUGAGCUCGCGGCCUAUCAGCUUGUUGGUGGGGUAAUGGCCUACCAAGGCGACGACGGGUAGCCGGCCUGAGAGGGUGACCGGCCACACUGGGACUGAGACACGGCCCAGACUCCUACGGGAGGCAGCAGUGGGGAAUAUUGGACAAUGGGCGGAAGCCUGAUCCAGCAACGCCGCGUGAGGGAUGACGGCCUUCGGGUUGUAAACCUCUUUCAGUACCGACGAAGCGGAAGUGACGGUAGGUACAGAAGAAGCACCGGCCACUACGUGCCAGCAGCCGCGGUAAUACGUAGGUGCGAGCGUUGUCCGGAAUUAUUGGGGCGUAAAGGGCCUCCGUAGCGUUUGUCCCCGUAGGAGUGAAACUCGGGGCUUAACUCCGAGCCUGCUUCUGAUACGGGCAGACUAGAGGUAUGCAGGGAGAACGGAAUUCCUGGUGUAGCGGGUGAAAUGCGCAGAUAUCAGGAGGAACACCGGUGGCGAAGGGCGGUUCUCUGGGCAUUACCUGACGCUGAGGAGCGAAAGUGUGGGGAGCGAACAGGAUUAGAUACCCUGGUAGUCCACACCGUAAACGUUGGGCGCUAGGUGUGGGACUCAUUUCCACGAGUUCCGUGCCGCAGCUAACGCAUUAAGCGCCCCGCCUGGGGAGUACGGCCGCAAGGCUAAAACUCAAAGGAAUUGACGGGGGCCCGC
Molecule: ribosomal RNA, 900 nt
Filed under: uncultured Nocardioides sp.
Lineage: Bacteria; Bacillati; Actinomycetota; Actinomycetes; Propionibacteriales; Nocardioidaceae
Description: bacterial SSU rRNA
Rfam family: Bacterial small subunit ribosomal RNA
Source: RNAcentral